GUAGCUCAGUUGGUUAGAGCGCACCCCUGAUAAGGGUGAGGUCGGCAGUUCGAAUCUGCCC
Molecule: transfer RNA, 61 nt
Filed under: Pseudomonas aeruginosa
Lineage: Bacteria; Pseudomonadati; Pseudomonadota; Gammaproteobacteria; Pseudomonadales; Pseudomonadaceae
Also listed under: 4 other names
Description: tRNA-Ile
Rfam family: tRNA
About the family: Transfer RNA (tRNA) molecules are approximately 80 nucleotides in length.
Source: RNAcentral